Molecule: ribosomal RNA, 586 nt
Filed under: uncultured bacterium
Lineage: Bacteria
Description: bacterial SSU rRNA
Rfam family: Bacterial small subunit ribosomal RNA
Source: RNAcentral
UAGCGGCAGGCCUAAUACAUGCAAGUCGAACGGUGGUAGCAAUACCAUAGUGGCGCACGGGUGCGUAACACGUAACUAACCUGCCCAAGACUGGGGGAUAGCCCGCCGAAAGGCGGAUUAAUACCGCAUAACACUUUUGAGUGGCAUCACUUAAUAGUUAAACCUGAGGGGGUCUUGGAUGGGGUUGCGGGUCAUUAGCUAGUUGGUCAGGUAACGGCUUACCAAGGCGACGAUGACUAGGGGAGCUGAGAGGCUGGUCCCCCACACGGGCACUGAGAUACGGGCCCGACUCCUACGGGAGGCAGCAGUAGGGAAUAUUGGGCAAUGGACGAGAGUCUGACCCAGCCAUGCCGCGUGCAGGAAGAAGGCUUUCUGAGUCGUAAACUGCUUUUGAUAGGGAAGAAUAAGCACUACGUGUAGUGUGAUGACGGUACCUACAGAAUAAGCACCGGCUAACUCCGUGCCAGCAGCCGCGGUAAUACGGAGGGUGCGAGCGUUGUCCGGAUUUAUUGGGUUUAAAGGGUGCGUAGGCGGCCCGUUAAGUCCGGGGUGAAAGCCCGUUGCUCAACAACGGAACUGCCCUGGA